UUCUGCUCUCCUGAACCUUUGGUCUUGACUUGGCCGGUUUGAAGACCUCGCCGGUUUGAAGACCAGGAAGUUGAUAAAUCGCGAGGCCAGCUGCUGAAAGACGGCGGCUCGGGUGGGACAGUCGCCAGGGAUGGCGGAGUAUGAGGAUGGAGCGGGUGUCGGGGCUGCUCUCCUGGACGCUCAACAGGGUCCUGUGGCUCUCGGGCCUCUUUGAGCGGGGCGCUGCCCGGCAGCCCCGGAUCAUGGAAGAGAAAGCGCUAGAGGUUUAUGAUUUGAUUCGAACUAUCCGGGACCCAGAGAAGCCCAACACUUUGGAAGAACUGGAAGUGGUAACAGAAAGUUGUGUGGAGGUUCAGGAGAUAAAUGAAGAGGACUAUUUGGUUAUUAUCAGGUUCACACCAACCGUACCUCAUUGCUCUUUGGCGACUCUUAUUGGGCUGUGCUUAAGAGUAAAACUUCAGCGGUGUUUACCAUUUAAACAUAAGAUUCCAUGAAGCUGGCUGGGUUGCUGCAACAUCCAAAACCCAUUGUCAUCAACCAUGUCAUUAGCAUGGACCCUAACCACCAGAAGACAGCUUGUUAUGACAUUGAUGUGGAGGUGGAUGACCCACUCAAGGCCCAGAUGAGCAAUUUUCUGGCCUCUACCACCAGUCAGUAGGAGAUCGCCUCCCUAAUGUCAACAGCCAUGAGACCAUUGAUUCCAUCAACCCAGAGGGAUUUCAUGCUCAGCUUUAGCACUGACUCCCCCCAGGAUUUCAUCCAAGAGUGGCUCCAUUCCCAGCACAGAGACCUCAAGAUCAUCACUGAUGUGAUUGGGAAUCCUGAGGAGGAGAGAGAAACUGCUUUUUACCACCAGGGCCCUGGGACCAGGAAGCAGUGGGGAGGCAUAUCUUUGCCAAGAUGCAGCGAUGAAGGCCGGAACAGUUGGAAAUCUACAUUUCUGAAGGAACCCACUCAACAGAGGAAGACAUCAACAAGCAGAUAAAUGACAAAGAGCGAGUGGCAGCUGCAAUG
This is an RNA transcript of Molossus molossus (Pallas's mastiff bat), 1014 nucleotides long. It is a transcript of the gene named cytosolic iron-sulfur assembly component 2A, with no coding region annotated. Lineage: Eukaryota; Metazoa; Chordata; Mammalia; Chiroptera; Molossidae. The transcript is spliced from 6 exons. The record is from RefSeq and is a predicted model, not a curated record.